GAUGAACGCUGGCGGCGUGCCUAAUACAUGCAAGUCGAGCGAACAGACGAGGAGCUUGCUCCUCUGACGUUAGCGGCGGACGGGUGAGUAACACGUGGAUAACCUACCUAUAAGACUGGGAUAACUUCGGGAAACCGGAGCUAAUACCGGAUAAUAUAUUGAACCGCAUGGUUCAAUAGUGAAAGACGGUUUUGCUGUCACUUAUAGAUGGAUCCGCGCCGCAUUAGCUAGUUGGUAAGGUAACGGCUUACCAAGGCAACGAUGCGUAGCCGACCUGAGAGGGGGAUCGGCCACACUGGAACUGAGACACGGUCCAGACUCCUACGGUAGGCAGCAGUAGGGAAUCUUCCGCAAUGGGCGAAAGCCUGACGGAGCAACGCCGCGUGAGUGAUGAAGGUCUUCGGAUCGUAAAGCUCUGUUAUUAGGGAAGAACAAAUGUGUAAGUAACUAUGCACGUCUUGACGGUACCUAAUCAGAAAGCCACGGCUAACUACGUG
Molecule: ribosomal RNA, 497 nt
Filed under: uncultured bacterium
Lineage: Bacteria
Description: partial 16S ribosomal RNA
Rfam family: Bacterial small subunit ribosomal RNA
Source: RNAcentral